CGGGGCUGCCGCCGUCCCUGUCCUCCAGGAGCUCACCUGUCUCUGGCCGUGAGCCCCUCGAGGCCAGAGCCUGCGUCUGCCUCAGCACCAGC
RNAcentral lists this microRNA precursor (92 nucleotides) under Camelus bactrianus (Bactrian camel). Its description in RNAcentral is "mir-339 microRNA precursor family". It matches the Rfam family "mir-339 microRNA precursor family". The record is from Rfam by way of RNAcentral. Lineage: Eukaryota; Metazoa; Chordata; Mammalia; Artiodactyla; Camelidae. RNAcentral also lists the same sequence under 2 other names.